GGGAAUCUGACUAUUUAAUUAAAACAAAGAAUUAUGAUGGUCCCUGUGGAUGUUGACGCAAUGUGAUUUCUGCCCAGUGCUCUGAAUGUUAAAGUGAAUAAAUUCAACCAAGCACGGGUAAACAGCGGGAGUAACUAUGACUCUCUUAAGGUAUCCAAAUGCCUCACCAUCUAAUUAGUGAUGCACAUGAAUGAAUUAACUAGAUUCCCACUAUCCCUAUCUACUAUCUAGCGAAGCCACAACCAAGGGAAUGGGUUUGGCAUAAUCAACAGAGAAAGAAGACCUUGUUGAGAUUGACUCUAGUCCAACUUUGUGAAAUGAAUUGAGAGUUGUAGAAUAAGUGGGAAUUGUUUUCGAAACAAAUGAAAUAACACUACUUUUAACAUUAUUUUACUUACAAUUUUGUGGGGCAAAGACGGGGCAGUUACCCUAUUUUUGGCCUUAAGUCAUGUUUCGAUGGGUCGAUCUGGGUGGAAGACAUUUCUAGGUGGGGAUUUUGGAUGGGGAAACACGUCUAUUAAAGGAUAACAUAAAAUAUAAUUUGUGUAGAUAGAACAUUUGUAUUUGGGAGAUCCUAGUGCACAACCACCCUUAUUACCUUUCCCUCCUAAUUUGUAGUUACAUCCAAUCAUUUCUAAAUUGAAUCUAGUUUCCUCACUUGCACAAUAUGGAUAGAUGUGUGAACCCUAUACAUUAUUAAAGAUUUCAAAACCCCUAUCCAUGAGCCUAUGGUUACAUACAAAUGGGAAAAAAAAGGUGGAUACAAAAAUGCCACCUAUUCCUCCUCACGGUCCUCCCUAGGAUCUUGUUGUAUCUCAUAAUGUUGCACACUCCAUUGAUAUCCAUGUUUUUAUCAAAUUUUUUGCUAGCCCUCCUCGUCAUGAAGAAGUUUUAUUUGCUACCCCUCUAUUUAGAUAUGGAA
Molecule: non-coding RNA, 922 nt
Organism: Picea glauca (white spruce)
Lineage: Eukaryota; Viridiplantae; Streptophyta; Pinopsida; Pinales; Pinaceae
Source: Rfam